AUUACUUUAUAUGACAGUGGAACAACAGUACAUUAGGCAGCAGCAGUACAAGGACAAGCGUAUGAAUUCUUAGUCAAACAAGUCUUUGGACAGCGCUUUAGUGCCGACAGUAGAUCGAGAAAACCCCUUAGCCCUUGCAAACAGACACCUCCUCUGUACUUCUUUUGACCUGUACACCGAUUGUAAAAACGUCGC
Non-coding RNA from Drosophila suzukii, 195 nucleotides. NCBI's taxonomy places the organism in Eukaryota, Metazoa, Arthropoda, Insecta, Diptera, Drosophilidae. The record is from RefSeq and is a predicted model, not a curated record.